RNAcentral lists this ribosomal RNA (450 nucleotides) under uncultured bacterium. Its description in RNAcentral is "partial 16S ribosomal RNA". It matches the Rfam family "Bacterial small subunit ribosomal RNA", at positions 354 to 796 of the family's 1533-position model. The record is from RNAcentral.
GUGGGGAAUAUUGGACAAUGGGCGAAAGCCUGAUCCAGCCAUGCCGCGUGUGUGAAGAAGGUCUUCGGAUUGUAAAGCACUUUAAGUUGGGAGGAAGGGCAGUAAGUUAAUACCUUGCUGUUUUGACGUUACCGACAGAAUAAGCACCGGCUAACUUCGUGCCAGCAGCCGCGGUAAUACGAAGGGUGCAAGCGUUAAUCGGAAUUACUGGGCGUAAAGCGCGCGUAGGUGGUUUUGUAAGUUGGAGGUGAAAUCCCCGGGCUCAACCUGGGAACUGCCGCCAAAACGGCAUGACUAGGGUACGGUAGAGGGUAGUGGAAUUUCCUGUGUAGCGGUGAGAUGCGUAGAUAUAGGAAGGAACACCAGUGGCAGAGGCGACUACCUGGACUGAUACGGACACUGAGGUGCGAAAGCGUGGGGAGCAAACAGGAUUAGAAACCCGGGUAGUCC